Molecule: ribosomal RNA, 253 nt
Filed under: uncultured bacterium
Lineage: Bacteria
Description: partial 16S ribosomal RNA
Rfam family: Bacterial small subunit ribosomal RNA
Source: RNAcentral
GACGGGGGAUGCAAGCGUUAUCCGGAAUCACUGGGCGUAAAGCGUCUGUAGGUGGUGAUGCAAGUCACUGGUGCAAAACUCUGGCUCAACCGGAGGAAAGCCAGUGAAACUGCAUGACUAGAGUGUGGGAGAGGUAGAAGGAAUUCCCUGGGUAGCGGUGAAAUGCGUAGAUACAGGGAAGAACACCGGAGGCGAAAGCGUUCUACCGGAACACAACUGACACUGAGAGACGAAAGCUAGGGGAGCGAAGGGG